GACGAACGCUGGCGGCGUGCUUAACACAUGCAAGUCGAACGAUGAAGUUCCUUCGGGAAUGGAUUAGUGGCGAACGGGUGAGAAACACGUGAGAAACCUGCCUUUCAUUUUGGGAUAACUCCGGGAAACCGGAGCUAACACCGAAUACUCCGUCUCGGCGGCAUCGCUGAGCCGGGAAAAAAUUUUGAUGAAAGAUGGUCUCGCGGCCUAUCAGCUAGUUGGUGAGGUAAUGGCUCACCAAGGCGACGACGGGUAGCCGGCCUGAGAGGGCGGCCGGCCACACUGGGACUGAGACACGGCCCAGACUCCUACGGGAGGCAGCGGUGGGGAAUAUUGGGCAAUGGGCGCAAGCCUGACCCAGCGACGCCGCGUGAGGGAUGAAGGCCUUCGGGUUGUAAACCUCUUUCAGUAGGGAAGAAGCGAAAGUGACGGUACCUAAAGAAGAAGCACCGGCUAACUAUGUGCCAGCCGCCGCGGUAA
This 480-nucleotide ribosomal RNA is filed under the name uncultured bacterium. RNAcentral describes it as "partial 16S ribosomal RNA". It matches the Rfam family "Bacterial small subunit ribosomal RNA", at positions 28 to 523 of the family's 1533-position model. The record is from RNAcentral.